Long non-coding RNA from Emys orbicularis (European pond turtle), 2274 nucleotides. RefSeq lists it as uncharacterized. NCBI's taxonomy places the organism in Eukaryota, Metazoa, Chordata, Testudines, Emydidae. The record is from RefSeq and is a predicted model, not a curated record. The transcript has 2 exons.
UAUGGAACAAUAUAUUCAUGUAACGUUUAAGGCUGUGAAGGAAAGCCUGGGCUGAUUGGGAAAGGUAGUAACAGGGCUGGCUUUAACCCUUCCAGGACCGGAGUGGGUGACCACCCUGCUACACCGUCAUUGAUUUGAGAUCUACCAUACCAUUCUCUCACUAGAAGGGAAAACCUAUAAUGGCAGCAGGCCAUAAAAGAGAACCAGUUUGGGAAUGAAGCUCCUCUACCUGUGGGUAAGACAGGCAUGCGUGCAAAAUGCAAACAGUGCAACAAAGAAAUGCAAGGCCUGGUUGCCCAAAUGAAACAACAUCAUGAGAAGUGUUCCUUCUCAGGACGAAGCUGCGCUGAAGAUGACGAAAGGAACAUGUCUGAACAUGCAGGAUCUUCGGAGAAUCCAUCCUCAACAUACAGGAUUCUGAAGACUAUCCACCUUCAAGAUCACCAUCAUUUUCUAUAGUUUCAGAGUUAUCUGCCAAUAAUAGUGUUUCAGUCACAUCAUGUAUGUCACAUAGCCACAGUAUAUCACCUGUAGGAAAAAGAAAAAAAAAUCUCUAUCAUCCAGAAACAACCAUAGAUAAGUUUGUGAUAAGAACCAGCAGAUUACAAAAAGAGGUAACUGAUGGGGAAAAUUGCCCAAUUUGUUUAUGCAACAAACUCUCCUUUCCGUAUGAUUGAGAACCCACACUUCAUGAACAUGGUUCAGUCAUUAAGACCAGGAUACAGUCCAUCCAACAGAGCAGAUGUCACAGGCAAAUUGCUGGAUAAAGUGUAUGAAAGAGAAAUUGAGCAGUGUGCAAAAGGUCUAGAAGGUAAAAUUGUUAACCUGAGUCUUGAUGGGUGGAAAAAUGUCCACAAUGAUCCUGUUGUAUGUGCUUGUGUGACAACAGAAGAAGGGAAUGUCUUCCUUACAGAAACAAUUGAUACAUCAGGAAAUGCACACACAGCAGAAUACUUACAAGAAGUAGCAGUAAAAGCUAUAAGAAAUGGGGGGGGGGUGGUGAAUUCAAAUGUUUAGUACGCAGGUUGGUCACAGAUAAUGCUGCAAAUGUAUCCAAUAUAAGAAGAAAUUAUUUAGAAGAGCAUGAAGAGAGUCCCAAGCUAAUAGCAUAUGGUUGCAGUGCUCAUUUUGAUUCACCUCCUAGCCAAAGACUUCAGUGUUCCAGAAAUAAAGGCUAAUGUUGUUGAAAUUGCAAAAUACUUCCGUAACAACCACUUUGCAGCAGCUGCUCUAAAAAAAGUGGGAGGAACCAAGCUAACUCUCCCACAAGACGUGCGAUGGAACUCAGUAGUGGACUGUUUUGAGCACUAUAUCAAGAACUGGCUUAAUCUGAUGACAGUUUGUGAACAAAAUCACACAAAAAAAGAUGGCACUGUCACAGCCAAAGUUCUCAACAUUGGGCUUAAGAGAAAUGUUGAACACAUGCUGAGUGCCCUGAAGCCUAUUUCUGUAGCCUUGAACAAAAUGCAGGGAAAUAGCUGUUUUAUUGCUGACGCUGUUGAAAUUUGGAAGGAACUGAGUGAGAUUUAAAAAGAGAAAUAUGCAAUGACAGAGUGCUUGUCCCAUUCAUUUUUGUAACGUAACUAUCUCCAGCUCAUUUUCUUGCAAAUAUUCUCAAUACUCGGUACCAGGAUCAAACCUUAACUGCUGAAGAAAAGGAGUUGACUAUGACAUGGACAUCCAGCAAUCAUCCCUUCAUAAUGCCAACUAUAAUAAACUUCAGAGCUAAGGGUGAACCAUUCAAGAAAUAUGUUUGCUGAUGAUGUUUUAAAGAAAGUCAUACCAGUGAACAGGUGGAAGUCACUUAAGCACUUGGAUUCAGAGACUGUUGAAGUGAUAAUCUUGCUUUUAACAGCAGUAGCUUCUUCUGCCAGUGUAGAAAGAAUAUUUUCUUCCUUUGGACGAAUUCAUUCCAAAUUGAGAAAUCGUCUGGGACCUGAAAAAGCAGGAAAGCUUGUUUUCCUUUUCACCUUCAUUUUCCUGUUUGUUCAUAAUCUGGAAGACGACUGAGUUAGCUGCACAAGCCAAUAUUUUAAAUUUCUCAUGUUGACCUGGCUGACAUAGUCGAUUUAAUUUUUGUUUGUUUGUUUUUUAAAUUCAUUAACUAUUGUAGUUAAACAAUUUUAACAAAAACAAACCUGAUUUUAAAAAACUUUGAAUGUUUAACUAAAUUCAAAAAUUAAUAUACUUGUUUUGUUAAAAUAUGUUUGCUGUUGAAGAAAAAAAUCCAGAUACAUAACAUUGUUGUUUUAGUUAAAUAAAACAAUUUAAAUG